GAAGGAGGAAGGUUUUGGGUGCCUGCCCCUGCCAGGAAAUUGCAGGCGCUGACUGCCAGCACAGGGGCGAAGGACCUGGCCGCGUCCCUCCCAGAGGAGGCACAGCGUCGGGGUGGUGGAAGGGCAGCUGCUUGAACACAGUCGCGAGAGCGCUGGGAAGCAGCUGUUGACCCGCUUUGACCAUGAAAGCCAUGUGUCCCUAUCCGCCUUUUUGCCUACAAUGUUCUGUUGCAGAGUUUGUGUUGGCAAUGGCGUUGGAGUACAGCUCACAUGAUAACAAUGUGGCAUAGGAGGAUCCUGGC
This 302-nucleotide long non-coding RNA is filed under the name Apteryx rowi (Okarito brown kiwi). Its description in RNAcentral is "lncRNA (ENSARWG00000015497.1)". Lineage: Eukaryota; Metazoa; Chordata; Aves; Apterygiformes; Apterygidae. The record is from RNAcentral.